Molecule: transfer RNA, 72 nt
Filed under: Geobacillus sp. 44C
Lineage: Bacteria; Bacillati; Bacillota; Bacilli; Caryophanales; Anoxybacillaceae
Description: tRNA-Arg
Rfam family: tRNA
About the family: Transfer RNA (tRNA) molecules are approximately 80 nucleotides in length. Their secondary structure includes four short double-helical elements and three loops (D, anti-codon, and T loops).
Source: RNAcentral
GCCCUUGUAGUGUAAUGGAUAGCACAUCAGGUUUCUACCCUGAGAGUUCGGGUUCGAGUCCUGGCAAGGGCG